This 455-nucleotide long non-coding RNA is filed under the name Nicotiana benthamiana. Its description in RNAcentral is "long non-coding RNA (NBEN_LNC004744)". Lineage: Eukaryota; Viridiplantae; Streptophyta; Magnoliopsida; Solanales; Solanaceae. The record is from RNAcentral.
CUACAUCAAGGUUUUCAUAGAAGUGUACAUGGAUUUAAAUGAAGAGAACAAAGGAAGUUAUCAGCAAUAGUAGCCAACAGUAGCAGUACUGGAGAAAUACUCCACACACAGCAAAAGAGAAUGCAGCAGCAACAGAAAUCAACCCAUCUUUGGAUAAUAAAUCAGCACACAGAAAGACCAGAUUUGAAGUAAAAUCCAAGCAGACCAACUCAAUUAGCACCCAGUUGAUUCGAAAUUGCACCCCAAAACCAACAGUACACCCAGAAUCGAUAUGAACCAACACUGAUCAAACCAUGCUCAUUCAAUGAAACAGUGAUCUUUUCCCUUUUGUUGUUUUCUCAUUUUUCUGUUUAUAUACUUUUUUUGUAUAUUUGAAUAACUGAAGCAAAAUCGAGAACUGAAUAAAAAUAAAGAAUUGGAUUUUUUCUAAUAGGAUUCCUUGAGCUGAAAAGGUU